This 2185-nucleotide ribosomal RNA is filed under the name Triticum aestivum (bread wheat). Its description in RNAcentral is "partial small subunit ribosomal RNA". Lineage: Eukaryota; Viridiplantae; Streptophyta; Magnoliopsida; Poales; Poaceae. The record is from RNAcentral.
UACGAUCGGCCAUAAGGCGAGCUACCACCAAGUUUUUGACGGGAUGACUUAUGUUUGAUGUGACGCCGGUUUCCUUCUAAUUAACGAGAACUUCACUUCGAGCUUCUUAUAUGACAAGGUAAAAAUGCUUCCGCCCAGCUAAUGCUACUCAGUAGAGUGUUCGGUAUGUACAGCAGGAGUCUGGUCCCUUCCCUUCCCUAGUGUAGUCGAAGUGGCGCCUUCCUCCUCACGGUGAGGCACCCCGCUCGAGACUCCCGGAGUACCGUCCGGCGGAAUAGACGGUGCGUCCUGCGGGCCACCCGGGGUGCCUCCGGGACGGGCAACCGGCAGUACCGAGGAUAUAUCGGAGGCAGGUAGGAUAGGAGGAGAGGAAGCGUGCAUAAUGGCGCCGAGGAGGGGACCAGUGGCCGCUCUUUUUCGUUCUACCUGAUGUACUUACCCGGUCCGGCCUUGGUGGACAAGCAGGGACCCGGCCACUUGUAGGGCCUGGUCCACUAGGCGCGGUACUCGGCCGUCUUGCUCCUGAUGGCGAGCGGCCGCUAGGGACGGGAGUGGUUCUGGGACGACCUCCUGCACUUCUUCUAGAAGUUCUGGUGGUGGCCGUGGGGGAAGGAGAAGGGGUGGUGGCCGUGGCCGCGGACCCUCUCGCGCGAGUGGUUGUGCGAGAGGGGCCCCCUGGCCUAGCACAGGAAGAGCGACCCCGUCAAGUCGGACGACACCUAGCUGGUCGUCGUCGCGGAGCCGAAGUCGCACCUGCACCACCUCAGGCUGACCCCGAUGCCGCGGCUGGAGCCGCGGGAGCUCAGGUUCGAGGCGUGACUGAGCGUCGUGUGGUAGUUCCGGUAGACGUAGCAGGUGUUGCUCUGGCGGUGGCCGCAGUGGUUGCUGGAGGUGCGGCAGGCGUUCGAGGAGCUACGCAUGGCCGUGGGCCGCGACGACGACCACCUGCCCCACAGCAGGUAGACGCGCGACCUGAAGGCGUACCUGCUCACCCCGCACCUGCACCGCGACUGCCCCAGCGUCUUCCGCGACAGCGACGGCUGCCCCGACCCGUAGCACACGCGGUCGGGGUUCCGCGACCUCCGCCGGUUCUGCCGGUUCAGCCACGCGCAGAAGAAGCUGACCUUCCUGAUGGAGUUCAAGAUGUUCUACCCGUGGAUGACCGGGAUGUGCGGGAGGUAGGUCGAGGAGAUGCCGGAGGCGCGGCCGGAGCUGGAGGAGAAGCUCCUCCCGGAGCUGUUGCAGUAGUUCUCCGUGUGUGCGGAGCCGUGGCGUUGUUCCGACCGCCACCGCCGCACCCCCGAGUUCUUGACGUGGCGCUUCCUCCUCUUGAAGUCGCUGUGCCAGUGGCGGCAGCAGCACGGCGGCAUGUAGCUGUCGAGGCUCUAGCAGUUCGUGCGCACCUUCGCCAUGUUGGAGUCGGAGCCCGAGCCCGAGUUGUUCCAGCGGCCGUUCCAGAAGUCCUAGCCGGUGGAGCCGGUGGAGUUGCUCGACGUUGAAGACCCAACGGAGCCGCCCCACCUCUACCACGAGUUCCUGUAGCCCAUGGGCCACUUCGAGCCGUCGCCGCACCGCCGGCGGCGCCGCAUGGAGAGCUUAAGGUGCGGGGAGUAGGGGAGGUCCUAGACUCGUUUAGGGUGCGUGCUUUCGUUCCCCCAGCGCUCUUCUUCUUGUUUGUAGUACGUCACGGGACGAAGCCCUCGUCUCGUCCGCAUCAUGUGAUGACCAAGACCAAUAUGAGAGACAUACAUUUCAAUUAAAAGUGUGUGGGUAGACACGAUUUCCUCAUAUUAAAGCAGUUGACUUCGAAAUUAAUGUCUUUUAACUUGGGCCUAAUUAUAAUGUACUGCACGGAGAAAAUCUACCGAUCCGAACCAUAACGACUAACUAGAUGAGACAAAGGACGAUGACAUGUAUUCGACAAAUGUCAUAAUAUUGGUGACUUGAUCUAUCGCAGUAGGUAGUGGCUUCUUUAGGUCCGUCGUCGAAUCAUGUUUUUAGUGCACGCGGCGUGUGCACGCUGCCAUUGAUCAAACGAUUUUGCUCUUUUGCUCGGGGGCUGGGGGACUAAAAGUGAGUUCACUUUGUUCUCACAGCGUGUUCGAAUGUACUGGGGCCGGUGUGAAUUAAAGUUUGCCGGAGUCUUGACUUUGAAGAGUUGUGGUUUUCUUUGACAAUGAUGGUG